This is a small nuclear RNA of Cyprinus carpio (common carp), 162 nucleotides long. RefSeq annotates it as U1 spliceosomal RNA. The transcript has a single exon. NCBI's taxonomy places the organism in Eukaryota, Metazoa, Chordata, Actinopteri, Cypriniformes, Cyprinidae. The record is from RefSeq and is a predicted model, not a curated record.
AUACUUACGCGCUGGCAGGGAGACCCAGGAAUCAUACUGCGGUUCACCCAGGCGAGGCUCGUCCCUUGCACUCCGGCCGUGCUGACCCCUGCGAUUUCCCCAAAUGUGGAAUCUCGACUGCAAUAAUUUAAUGGUAUGGGGGACUGCGUUCGCGGCUCUCUC